UGUGAUUUGCUUUGGACCUGCCAUUGAUGUGCUCAUGCCGCUUCAUCAUUCCCAGAUUCUUGCCUAUCAAUUUAUCGGUGUCGUCCAAAAUCUGGAUGUCGUCGAUGCAUAUCUUUGCAACCAGUUCUGGUCUUACGAGCAGGACGAUAAUCUUUCCAUGGAGCUGUGGUGUCAUGAGUACAUGACGGCCUACCUGCAUGUUCAGGUCCGAAGACGUAUGUCUCAUUUGAAGCAGGUAGGAGGCACGUGCAUUGGCAUCUGGUGGACAGGAACAAAGUGUGAGACUGACGUAUGUGUGAGACUGGCACGCACGUGCAUUGUCCAUCUCACUAUUACAAACUUAUUUCAUAUAAAAAUAACCAUUUUCAGAAUAAUUACUAGUUUCUAUGGUUUAAUUGCCUUUCCAGGCUGAAAAAAUAAAUAAAUACCAAAUUGAAUGUUAUGAAACAUAGUGAGAGAUGUGUCCAUUUGUGAAGCACCUAUAUUGACACUUUUAGAUAACCUCAUGCUCUAUUUAUCUCAAGCAGCUAGGACCAAAUUAUGACUCCAUGCCAAGUUUCACUAUUUUCUAACAACAUUUGGUAUUUAUUUAUUUAUUUAUUUUCGGCUUGAAAAGACAUUUAAAGCAUAUAAAUUAGUAGAUAAUAAAAAAUGGCAUAUUUACAUGAAGUAAGUUUGUAACUAUUAGAUGACCUAAUAGUGCACUUUUGAAGCAAAGACAAUGACAAACGUAAGAAAUAUAGCUCAAGCACUGAUGUUAUAGUUGAAUGUUAUGAAACAUAGUGAGAGAUGUGUCCAUUUGUGAAGCACCUAUAUUGACACUUUUGCAUAACCUCAUGCUCUGUUUAUCUCAAGCAGCUAGGACCAAAUUAUGACUCCAUGCCAAGUUUCACUAUUUUCUGACAACAUUUGGUAUUUAUUUAUUUAUUUUCAGCUUGAAAAGGCAUUUAAAGCAUAUAAAUUAGUAGAUAAUAAAAAAUGGCAUAUUUACAUGAAGUAAGUUUGUAACUGUUAGAUGACCUAAUGGUGCACUUUUGAAGCAAAGACAAUGACAAACGUAAGAAAUAUAGCUCAAGCACUAAUGUUAUAGUUGCAUGUUAUGAAACAUAGUGAGAGAUGUGUCCAUUUGUGAAGCACCUAUAUUGACACUUUUGCAUAACCUCAUGCUCUAUUUAUCUAAGCAGCUAGGACCAAAUUAUGACUCCAUGCCAAGUUUCACUAUUUUCU
This 1227-nucleotide long non-coding RNA is filed under the name Zea mays. Its description in RNAcentral is "long non-coding RNA (ZMAY_LNC000773)". Lineage: Eukaryota; Viridiplantae; Streptophyta; Magnoliopsida; Poales; Poaceae. The record is from RNAcentral.